Molecule: microRNA, 21 nt
Filed under: Heligmosomoides polygyrus
Lineage: Eukaryota; Metazoa; Nematoda; Chromadorea; Rhabditida; Heligmosomidae
Description: hpo-miR-10055-5p
Source: miRBase by way of RNAcentral
ACGCGUUCCGUAGCCUUCUGC